This 440-nucleotide ribosomal RNA is filed under the name uncultured bacterium. Its description in RNAcentral is "partial 16S ribosomal RNA". It matches the Rfam family "Bacterial small subunit ribosomal RNA", at positions 338 to 795 of the family's 1533-position model. The record is from RNAcentral.
CCUACGGGUGGCAGCAGUGGGGAAUAUUGCACAAUGGGGGAAACCCUGAUGCAGCGACGCCGCGUGAGUGAAGAAGUAUUUCGGUAUGUAAAGCUCUAUCAGCAGGGAAGAAAAUGACGUUACCUGAUUAAGAAGCCCCGUCUAACUACGUUCCAGCAGCCGCGGUAAUACGUAGGGGGCAAGCGUUAUCCGGAUUUACUGGGUGUAAAGGGAGCGUAGACGGCAACACAAGUCUGGAGUGAAAUGCCGGGGCUUAACCCCGGAAUUGCAUUGGAAACUGUGGAGCUAGAGUGCACGAAAGGCAAGUGGAAUUCCUCGUGUAGCGGUGAAAUGCGUAGAUAUGAGGAGGAACACCAGUGGCGAAGGCGGCUUACUGGAGUGUAACUGACGUUGAGGCUCGAAAGCGUGGGGAGCGAACAGGAUUAGAUACCCGAGUAGUC